UUCGCCCUUGAGUUUGAUCCUGGCUCAGAGCGAACGCUGGCGGCAGGCCUAACACAUGCAAGUCGAACGGACCCUUCGGGGUUAGUGGCGGACGGGUGAGUAACACGUGGGAACGUGCCUUUAGGUUCGGAAUAGCUCCUGGAAACGGGUGGUAAUGCCGAAUGUGCCCUUCGGGGGAAAGAUUUAUCGCCUUUAGAGCGGCCCGCGUCUGAUUAGCUUGUUGGUGGGGUAAUGGCCCACCAAGGCUACGAUCAGUAGCUGGUCUGAGAGGAUGACCAGCCACAUUGGGACUGAGACACGGCCCAAACUCCUACGGGAGGCAGCAGUGGGGAAUCUUGCGCAAUGGGCGAAAGCUGACGCAGCCAUGCCGCGUGUAUGAUGAAGGUCUAGGAUUGUAAAAUACUUUCACCGGUGAAGAUAAUGACUGUAGCCGGAGAAGAAGCCCCGGCUAACUCGUGCCAGCAGCCGCGGUAAACGAGGGGGGCAAGCGUUGCGCGGAAUACAUGGCGGAAAGGGAGCUGAUGCGGACAUGAAGCAGAGGUAAACCCGGACGGAACGCUGGAC
RNAcentral lists this ribosomal RNA (564 nucleotides) under uncultured alpha proteobacterium rcr_50. RNAcentral describes it as "bacterial SSU rRNA". It matches the Rfam family "Bacterial small subunit ribosomal RNA", at positions 1 to 621 of the family's 1533-position model. The record is from RNAcentral. Lineage: Bacteria; Pseudomonadati; Pseudomonadota; Alphaproteobacteria.